GAUGAACGCUGGCGGCGUGCCUAAUACAUGCAAGUCGAGCGAACAGACGAGGAGCUUGCUCCUCUGACGUUAGCGGCGGACGGGUGAGUAACACGUGGAUAACCUACCUAUAAGACUGGGAUAACUUCGGGAAACCGGAGCUAAUACCGGAUAAUAUAUUGAACCGCAUGGUUCAAUAGUGAAAGACGGUUUUGCUGUCACUUAUAGAUGGAUCCGCGCCGCAUUAGCUAGUUGGUAAGGUAACGGCUUACCAAGGCAACGAUGCGUAGCCGACCUGAGAGGGUGAUCGGCCACACUGGAACUGAGACACGGUCCAGACUCCUACGGGAGGCAGCAGUAGGGAAUCUUCCGCAAUGGGCGAAAGCCUGACGGAGCAACGCCGCGUGAGUGAUGAAGGUCUUCGGAUCGUAAAACUCUGUUAUUAGGGAAGAACAAAUGUGUAAGUAACCAUGCACGUCUUGACGGUACCUAAUCAGAAAGCCACGGCUAACUACGUG
RNAcentral lists this ribosomal RNA (497 nucleotides) under uncultured bacterium. RNAcentral describes it as "partial 16S ribosomal RNA". It matches the Rfam family "Bacterial small subunit ribosomal RNA", at positions 28 to 507 of the family's 1533-position model. The record is from RNAcentral.